Molecule: ribosomal RNA, 468 nt
Filed under: uncultured bacterium
Lineage: Bacteria
Description: partial 16S ribosomal RNA
Rfam family: Bacterial small subunit ribosomal RNA
Source: RNAcentral
GACGAACGCUGGCGGCGUGCUUAACACAUGCAAGUCGAACGGAAAGGCCCUGCCUUUGUGGGGUGCUCGUGUGGCGAACGGGUGAGUAACACGUGAGUAACCUGCCCUUGACUUUGGGAUAACUUCAGGAAACUGGGGCUAAUACCGGAUAGGAGCUCCUGCUGCAUGGUGGGGGUUGGAAAGUUUCGGCGGUUGGGGAUGGACUCGCGGCUUAUCAGCUUGUUGGUGGGGUAGUGGCUUACCAAGGCUUUGACGGGUAGCCGGCCUGAGAGGGUGACCGGCCACAUUGGGACUGAGAUACGGCCCAGACUCCUACGGGAGGCAGCAGUGGGGAAUAUUGCACAAUGGGCGGAAGCCUGAUGCAGCAACGCCGCGUGCGGGAUGACGGCCUUCGGGUUGUAAACCGCUUUCGCCUGUGACGAAGCGUGAGUGACGGUAAUGGGUAAAGAAGCACCGGCUAACUACGUG